Molecule: ribosomal RNA, 119 nt
Filed under: Salmo salar (Atlantic salmon)
Lineage: Eukaryota; Metazoa; Chordata; Actinopteri; Salmoniformes; Salmonidae
Source: RNAcentral
CCAUACGGCCAUACCAGCCUGGGUACGCCCGAUCUCGUCUGAUUUCGGAAGCGAAGUAGGGUCGGGCCUGGUUAGUACUUGGAUGGGAGACCGCCUGGGAAUACCAGGUGCUGUAAGCA